Molecule: long non-coding RNA, 253 nt
Filed under: Nicotiana benthamiana
Lineage: Eukaryota; Viridiplantae; Streptophyta; Magnoliopsida; Solanales; Solanaceae
Description: long non-coding RNA (NBEN_LNC021157)
Source: RNAcentral
AGUAGUGGAGUCCCCUAACUGGGUCUGUUGUAACAAGCUCAUCAAUUGGUCAUACUGUUGUCUGCUCAACCCUGGUAUCACAGAACUCUGACCAUCUAUGUUUGUAACAGAGUGAUGGCUUUCAGGAGGAUUCCCUUGGGGAACAGACACAUGUCCAUCAGAAGAAGGGGAUUCCACACCAGCAAUUAGAUGAGCAGCAGCAGGUCUCCUACCCUUGUUAAAUGUUGUACUUUGUGAAUACCCAUGAAUCUUG